Long non-coding RNA from Sapajus apella (tufted capuchin), 6443 nucleotides. RefSeq lists it as uncharacterized. NCBI's taxonomy places the organism in Eukaryota, Metazoa, Chordata, Mammalia, Primates, Cebidae. The record is from RefSeq and is a predicted model, not a curated record. The transcript has 3 exons.
CUCUACUGUGACAGAAAUUAACUAAAUCAGGGCCUCCCAGUGGCAUGCCAUGGUACAUAAGAUGAGAGGAACUGAAACUUUCAACCCGGUGUAUACAAAAAUAAUCAUUUUCUAUGUUUAUGCUUGGAUGUGCAGAAGGUUGGGAAGCAUUAAAUUAAGUAAAGCUUGUCUAGAAAUAGAAAUAAUUUAAAGCUGUAGAGGGCUCAAACCAUUGUAGAUUUCGUAAAACCCUAUCUACAUCUACGAAAUAAACCUCCUGAUGAAGCAGUCCUGCUGAUAGCCACUGACUGUUGCACAGACCCACAGGAUGACCUGCAAGCUCCCAAACGGCUCUGUUUUAAAGUGAAAAUUUAUUUAAAUAAUAAAUAGAAAUAGCAAUAGGCUACCUACUCUAACAACAUUAACUUCCCAAUUACCUCCUAAACCAUAGGGCCUCUCAAAUCACUGUUGUGGAGACACUUUGCAAAACUGUAAAUGACAGCUGGAAAAGGUAGGCAUGUCUUUUCACUGUUUGAUCCCUAUCCCUGGCACACUGCCUGCCACAUAGGUGACAUUCAACAUUUCUUACAUGAUGUGUUUGACCUGGACACCGAAGCAAGAGUUUAGUAGAAAUUGGAAGAGACAUGAAGAAUGUAAAACGGAGCUCUCACUUGGUGAUGAGGAAGUGGAGGAAAGGUGUUGUGACCUUCCCAGGACCAGAGCAUAAUCUUGCUCUGGGAGAAGUAUAUUCUGGGGUAUGUUACCACCCCAGUUCCUCUCUUUGUGCUCUACCAAAAUACAAAGAAAUACAAAAUUUCUGAUUCUGGGUUCAUCAUUAGGUUGUAUCCAGCAUACCAGUAUUUGUAUUAUUUUAAUUCAAAAUAUACUUUAUUGUAAAGAAAAGAGGCAAGAAAAUAUUAAAGAACUUGUCAGAUAAAUUUUUGCCUUCUUUUCCCACACCUUAGUAACUUGCAAAUAUUCUUUGAGCCUCAGUUUUCUCAUCAAAAUGGAGAAAAAAUCGCCUUGGAGAACUGAUGGGAGCAUAGGUAUAGAUAGCUUUUAUCAUUAUUCCUUGUUCAUAAUUGGCACUCAACAUAUGGAAUGGAUUGACUGGAUGAGGCAACGAAUUACUGUAAUUUGUAUUGUGAAUAGAGAUUGUGACUGUCACUUUCUAGCAACCCCUUUAAGGGCAUGAGAUUUCCUUCCUUUACUUUAAUAUUGUCACUACAAUUUCUUUUCUUGAAAAUACUGUGGCUAUAUACUGGAAUAUUUGGCCAUGAAAAUAUACAAUUUGUUGUUGCUUCUAAAUUGUAUAAUGAUCUUUAAAUCAAUGACUGUAAGUCAAAUUAGAGUUGCAAGAUUUAGCAAAUAAAGAUACAAGAUGCCUAGUAAAAUCUGAAUUUCAGAUGAACAACAAAUAAUUUUUUGUACAGUAUGUACUAUGUAAGUUUGGAACAUGGUUACACUAAAAAUUAUUGUUUAUUAUAUGAGACAUGCUUAAAGAAAAUAUUUAUUGGUAAUCUGAAAUUCAAAUAUAAUGGGACCUGUAGGCAUAGUAGGGUCUCUGGUAUCCCUAAGCUGAAGAUAAAGGGGAGCCUCAUAGAUCACAAUUAGCACUUCUUCCUUCUAUAGUUGAGUAAAUGAAGGCCCAGGGAAAUUGGUUACUUGGCCAAAGAAAUCAAAGAAAUGAGUGGCUGAGACAGAAGCUGAACCAGGUGUCCUCACAGCCCAUCCAAAACUUUCUCCCUGCACACCAUUGCAAAGAUGCCCCUCCUGACUUGCCCAUUCAGAAAUUCUUAGGGAUUUGCAAUGUGAAAUUCCUUUGUUAUUUUGGUUGUUCUUAAAAAAAAAAAAAAAGUCAACCAAACAGUAACAAGAAACCUCUUAUUCAUCCAGGCUCCAACAUGGCCUUCAUUGCCUUUAAAAGCUGGACUGACGCUUCCUGAUUCUUUCUCCAUAAAUACAAUACCUGGCAAGAACAAGGAAGGACAACAUGCUAUUACAGCCCCCAUCCUCCAGUCCACCUUCAUCUGCUUCCCUGUAACAAUUUGUUUUUAUCUUUUUGACUUGUCUGAGAGCAGCAGAAUAAUAAGUAUGAUGUAAAUGUGGCUUUGUGGGUGGUGUCUGCUGGGCACUGGAAUUGUUUACCUUGUCAUAAAUAGCUGUCUUCAGGGACCCGCCCAGACAGUCUGCUUUACUAACCUCACAAACAUAGACAAAUCUCACACCCCUUGCCUGAGGAUAGCCCACUAGAAACAGAAGGGAUUAAGUCCCUAGUUACAAUGCACGAAUUUUAACAAUAACAUCCUGAUCCGAAUAAACACUGAGAGGAAAGUAAAUAGAGUAGUGCAAUGAAUAAUAUGAGCUUUGAGAUAAAAUCGGCCUUGGUUUGAAUCUCAGAUCUGUCACUUACAGUUAUGUGACCUCUGUGAAUUCCACCUCUUAAGUGGAGAAAAAUCCCACCUACUUUCUUCAAAACUCAUAGGCACUGUGAGGGGCAAAAACGAAUUAUUUAAGGAUUUUUUUUUUCCCCUAAAAACAUACCUUGGUCAUCUUUAGCCCAGGAGGGAGUUUUGCUUUUUAAAUUUUGAGUUUAGGUGGAGAUAAAAAGAGCUUUGUUGUGAAAAUUGUACACUCAAUUUGGAAUUGUACACUUUUAAAGCGUGCAGUUUAUUAAAUGGAUUAUGAAUGUAUCUUAAUAAACUUAAGAAACAAAUGAAUAGAUUGGAGAGCAGAGUAAGUUGGCUUGGCCAGUGUCACGUGGCUAGCUAGUAAGUGGAAAUAGUUUGGGAAAGGGCAAAGCUGAACUUUGUGAAGGAGCAGGAAGCUCAAGAAAACUGAAGAAAGCUGGAAAAAGUAACUGGGGGUUCAGGUAGGCCGGCAUGAGAUUUACUGUGACCACAGCGGACUAUGAAGCAAGCAGCCUCUGCAGUCCAUGGAACCUGACUUUCAGUCCAUGGGAGCAUGCCAAUCUAAGCUGGCAUGGGUCUCAGCAGAAGCCCCGUCCACCCAAAAUCUACUUGAAAAUGCUCCUGAAGCCAGAGUUAUUCUUUUAGCAACAGAUUGUAAUUAGAUAACUCUUCAGAAAAGGUAAAAAAAAAAAAAAUUCUAUGAGGUCAAAGGGUGCCCAAGGGAUAUUUAAAUAACCACAUUCUGUCUGGUCAACCCACUGGAGCAUGACUGAUUGAGAAUUAACCCCUAACCAACAUCAGCACUAAGCUCCUCCAAAAAUCUUGUUACUGAGUAAUUCACUGCUACUUAGUAAAUUCUAGAAAAUAAUGUGUUUUAGAUAGAGAAUAUCUUAGCAGGUAAAGUCAAAGCUAAAACAGCCCAGAGGUCAAAGGAGGAAUUAAACAGAUGUGCAAAUUAAUCUCUGAACUGCAAACACUCAUGACCUGGAGCAUGUAUAAAGCAAAAGAGCCGAGAAAUCACAUCUUUUCCACUACCUGGAUGAGGUUUCCAUCACAGCUCACAGCUCUUCCAGCCUUGUGAAUCAAAGAUUUUCACGAAGUAUUGCCUUCAAACUUCACCUCCUCGCUCAAUAAGCGGCAGCACAACCAAGUGUGCCCACUUGUAGCCAUUGUCAGGGAGAUAAGCAUUAGAUGUGGUAAAAGAAAUCUAAGAGAACAACUCAAUUCUUUUUGAGUGGUAACUUCACUUUUAUUUAUAUUCAAUUAGUGAACAAAACAAACUCAAGAAACUACAGUCUCCCUGUCGAAAACUCAAAGUUCAGGCCUUAAGAACUGGAUUAUGUAUUUACUUUAUGCUACAUUUAACCGUCUAUUUACAGUGAAAGUCAUUUUUUUUUUAACUUAAGCAUGGCUAACAUGAACAAAAAAUACCAUUGUCCUAGACCAUUCUUAAUUAAAUUCAACAAAUACGCAUUGAGAACUAAGUAUAGCAAGUGGUGAGUAGGGCUGCAGAGAACACAAUAAAACAGAAAAACACCAUCCCUGCCCUCAAAGUAUUUACCACGGAGUCAUCUUUUGAUUAAUUUUAACCAAGAGUUCAUGCUACUAGACAAAACAAUUGUUUUGUGUACGUAUAAAUUCUGCAAAUUUAUUUCUGGUCUUGAGUCAUGUUUUUCUUUCUCAUAUCCAAAAACAAUCUGGAAAACUUCCUCACCUCCAAAAAUAAACUGGAAAACUUUGCCUAAUCUCUCUCUUCAAAUUAACUCCCCUUAAGUAUUAAUUAAACUUAGGUAAGAAGAAAUUAAGUUACCUAAGUAUCUUUUUUUGGAAUCACCUUAAUCAUAAGUGUCCAUAAAAUCGUGGGAUUUAAUGUACGUGUUAUAUUUUUCAAAAUGCACAUUAAAAGAAAUACUUGUCUAUUAACAUCAAUACUUGGUGUGUACUACCUAAACCACAUUGGGAUCAUGGCUUUAAUCCACUGUCAUAGUCAAAUCCUUUCCCUCUACCUUUCAAAACCCCACCCCAACUGAGGUAGUUCCUCAUAUCCCAGCACUUAGCUGAUGAUCCUUUCUUUCAAUUAACCAAGAAAAUUAAGUCACUCAGACAUGAGCUUCCUCAUUACUUCAACAUCCCAUCACUUUUUCUUCUUCUUUUUAAGAUUUUCUUCUGAGAUAUCCGUAUUAGUCUCCUUUGAUAAUAAUUUUACCUUUAUUCCAGAUUUCAUUUUCUGUCAACUCAAUUACUUCCUUUAAUAAUAUUUAGUUUAUCUUCAACUGAUCUCUCUUCUUUGGUCUCGUUGCCUUUGUUUACAUAUAUUUAGUUUAGAAAUAUUUAUUAUCUGCUAGGUGUCAGAGACUGUGCAAGGAUUCUAGGGAUGUAGAUAAGAAAGACAAAGAAAGUCACAAACCUCAAGGAGCUUACUGGUGUCUAAGGAGGCAGGCAGGCCUGCCCUGAAUCAACCCAUAGUGUGAUAGGUGCUAUGUUAAUGUGAACGCAAGAGUGUCCAGGGAGGAAACGCAAUUAGAGCUUGAAGCCAAAAGUGGGAAGGAUUCCCUCAGGGGAGGGAAUGACAUUUCAUUUUAUUGCUAUUAUCUUUCUCAGAUGAUUGCGGUGAUUUUUUUUUUUUAAUAAAAGGAAGUUGAAUUUAGGUGGAGAUAAAAUAGCUUUGGUGCGAAAACUGUACACUCCAUUUGGAAUUGUGCAUUUUAAAAGUGUGCAGUUUAUUAAAUGUAUUAUAAAUUGACCUUAAUAAGCUUGAAAAAACAAAUGGAUAGAUUGGAGAGCAGAGGAAGGUGGCUGGGCCAGUGUCACACGGCUAGCUAGUAACUGGAAAUAGUCUGGGAAACUGCAAAGUUGAGCUUUAUGAAAGAAAACGGAGCUCAAGGAAAUUAUCUGAGAAAGAUAAUUGUGUGUGUUUUUUUUUUUAAAUAAAUGCAAGGUUUGUGGCAAUCCUACCUCUAGCAAAUCUAUAGGCGCCAUUUUUUCCAGCAGUACGUGCUCACUUUGUGUCUCUGUGUCACAUUUUGGUGAUUCUCACAAUAUUUCAAACUUUGUCACUAUUAUUACAUCUGUUAUGGUGGCCUGUGACCUUAAAUGCUACUGCUGUAAUUGUUUUGGGGUGCCACAAAUUAUGCCCAUAUAAGAUGACAAACUUAAUUGGUAAAUUACGUUUCUAUUCUGACUGUUCCACCAACUGGCCAUUCCCCUAUCUCUCUCCUGCUCCUCGGUCCCUUCUGUUCUCUGAAACAAAACGCUAUCAAAAUUAGGUCAAUUAAUAAUCCUCUAGUGGCCUCUAAGAGUUCAAGUCAAAGGAAGCGUUGCACUUAUCUCACUUUAAAUCAAAGGCAGAAAUGAUUAAGCUUGGUGAGGAAGGCAUGUUGAAAGCCAAGGCAAUCCAAGACAGGUCUAAAGCUAGGCCUUUUGCAACAAACAGUUAGCUAAAUUAUGAAUGCAAAGUAAAAGUUCUUAACAGAAAUUAAAAGCGUUACUACAGUGAAUACAUGAAUGAUCAGAGAGCAAAACAAUUGCUGACAUGGAGUACGUUUUAACGAUCAGGAGAAAUGACCAAACCAGCCACAACAUUCCCUUAAGUCUAAGGCUAAUCCAGAGUAGCACUCUAACUCUUCAGUUUUAUGAAGGUUAAAAGAAGUAAGGAAGCUGCAGUAGAAAAGCUGGAAGCUAGCAGAAGUCAAGUUCACAAGACUGAAGGAAAGAAGCCUUCUCCAUAACAAAGAAGUGCAAGAUGAAGCAGCAAGUGCUGAUGGAGAAGCUGCAGCAAGUUAUCUAAAAGAUCUAAGCUCAGGUCAUUAAUGAAGCUGGCUACAUGAAACAACAGAUUUUCAAUGUAGAUGAAACACCCUUUCAUUGGAAGAAGAUACCAUCUAGGACUUUGAUAGUUAGAAUGGAGAAGUCAAUGCUAGCUUCAAAGGACAAGCUGACUCUCUUGCUAGGGGCUAAUGCAGCUGGUGACUUUAAGUUGAGGCCAAUGCUCAUUUAUCAUUCUAAAAAUUCUAGAGCCCUUAAGAAUAAUGCCUAAUCACCUCUUCUUCUGCU